This 656-nucleotide ribosomal RNA is filed under the name uncultured bacterium. RNAcentral's name for it is "bacterial SSU rRNA". It matches the Rfam family "Bacterial small subunit ribosomal RNA", at positions 167 to 810 of the family's 1533-position model. The record is from RNAcentral.
UACCGGAUAACAACACUAGACGCAUGUCUAGAGUUUGAAAGAUGGUUCUGCUAUCACUCUUGGAUGGACCUGCGGUGCAUUAGCUAGUUGGUAAGGUAACGGCUUACCAAGGCAAUGAUGCAUAGCCGAGUUGAGAGACUGAUCGGCCACAUUGGGACUGAGACACGGCCCAAACUCCUACGGGAGGCAGCAGUAGGGAAUCUUCCACAAUGGACGAAAGUCUGAUGGAGCAACGCCGCGUGAGUGAAGAAGGGUUUCGGCUCGUAAAGCUCUGUUGGUAGUGAAGAAAGAUAGAGGUAGUAACUGGCCUUUAUUUGACGGUAAUUACUUAGAAGGUCACGGCUAACUACGUGCCAGCAGCCGCGGUAAUACGUAGGUGGCAAGCGUUGUCCGGAUUUAUUGGGCGUAAAGCGAGUGCAGGCGGUUCAAUAAGUCUGAUGUGAAAGCCUUCGGCUCAACCGGAGAAUUGCAUCAGAAACUGUUGAACUUGAGUGCAGAAGAGGAGAGUGGAACUCCAUGUGUAGCGGUGGAAUGCGUAGAUAUAUGGAAGAACACCGGUGGCGAAGGCGGCUCUCUGGUCUGCAACUGACGCUGAGGCUCGAAAGCAUGGGUAGCGAACAGGAUUAGAUACCCUGGUAGUCCAUGCCGUAAACGAC